AGAAUCAACGCUGGCGGCGCGCCUAACACAUGCAAGUCGAACGAGAAAGUGGAGCAAUCCAUGAGUAAAGUGGCGCACGGGUGAGUAACACGUGACUAACCUACCCUUGAGUGGGGAAUAACCUAGGGAACCUGGGCUAAUACCGCAUAACACCUACGGGUCAAAGGAGCAAUUCGCUUAAGGAGGGGGUCGCGGCAGAUUAGCUAGUUGGCGGGGUAAUGGCCCACCAAGGCAGUGAUCUGUA
This 244-nucleotide ribosomal RNA is filed under the name uncultured bacterium. RNAcentral describes it as "partial small subunit ribosomal RNA". It matches the Rfam family "Bacterial small subunit ribosomal RNA", at positions 26 to 285 of the family's 1533-position model. The record is from RNAcentral.